CAAUCCACUGUAAGCCCCAUAUGGAACAAGAGCUACAAUGUGAUCUGAUUGUACAGUAUCUAUUCCAGCACUUAUUAGCACAACUUUAA
RNAcentral lists this long non-coding RNA (89 nucleotides) under Ornithorhynchus anatinus (platypus). RNAcentral's name for it is "lncRNA (ENSOANG00000038637.1)". Lineage: Eukaryota; Metazoa; Chordata; Mammalia; Monotremata; Ornithorhynchidae. The record is from RNAcentral.